Molecule: non-coding RNA, 26 nt
Filed under: Homo sapiens (human)
Lineage: Eukaryota; Metazoa; Chordata; Mammalia; Primates; Hominidae
Source: RNAcentral
UCUUUUGUUUCUGUCAACAUCUGUGC